RNAcentral lists this long non-coding RNA (1159 nucleotides) under Oryctolagus cuniculus (rabbit). Its description in RNAcentral is "lncRNA (ENSOCUG00000032439.1)". The record is from RNAcentral. Lineage: Eukaryota; Metazoa; Chordata; Mammalia; Lagomorpha; Leporidae.
GGGACUCACCCACAGUGGGCAGGGUCACCCCAGGCAGCCAGGGUGUCCAUUGGCUUCGUGUCUGUGUGCAGUAAUGGAGCAGGUGCAUGGGAGGGGGUGGGGAAUCACACUGAUGCCCAUGGUCCUCAUGGGUCAGGGGAGAGUGCAGAGGGGCUGUGGGCUUCACCCCUGCAGUUUCUGGAGGCUAUAGCAGCAUCAGCCAUACUCCACUUUGCUGUCUGUGCCCCUCAGCAGCGUGGGCACUGGCUGUGUGCAGCUCUGUACUCGGGUCUAAGGAAGGGGAGAGGCCGCAGCAGCUCCCGGUCAGGCCCCAUCGCUGCAGCAGCCGGGGGUCCCUCUCCUGAGACUUGGAGCCGAGGUCUCGGCACUGCUCGUCCUUGCCCUGCUGCCCCAGCCCUCGGCCAGGCAGUGUGGCCAGGCGGCUCAGGGCAUCCUCACCGCGAAGCCAUCCUCAGGACAGACAGACUGCCCCGGGGUUUCCAUGGGAGAUGCAGCAGCUCUUACCUGGACAAGGUAGCGCAGACCCUGGGCAGGUGGAGGUGGGGCUGCCAGGUGCAGGAGGACCGUGUCCUGGGCGUUUCUGUCCUUCCUGCAGGCCAUGGCUCCUGUGCCGGAGGCCCCUGGAUGGAGCUUGUCCCUCUGACCUCUGAAGUGAAAGAGGGUCCUGGGGCCACCAAAGGGUCUACACAGCAGAUGCUGCAGCAGAGCUAUGUCUCUGGUGACCCACGUCUCCACGAUCUUCCACGGGAAGACAGACUCCAAGACUUGCAGCUUCAGAAUCCUUGCCUCUGGGGUCAUCAAGCGUAUAGUGUCCUUCGUCCUCGCUGCCCCAAUGACAGGACAUCAUGGCUUCUCUGGCUGCCCCCAGGUCACCACGAUCGUCCACAGGAAGGUGGACUCCAAGAUGCCCAGCUUGAGAAUGCUAACCUUCCAGAAGAGGUGUUGAAAGGCCCUGGUCCUCGCUGCCCCAAGGACAGGUCCCCAUGGCUACUCUGGCUGCCCCAGGUCAUCAUGAUCAUCCAUUGGAAGACUGAUUCCAAGAUGCCCAGUUUCAGAAUCCUCGCCCUUCCAGAAAAGGGGUUGAAUGUCCCUCGUCCUUGCUACCCCACAGCCAGGACCCCAUGUCUUCUCUGGCUGCCCCCAGGUCAACAGGAUCAUC